UGGGGAAUAUUGGGCAAUGGGCGAAAGCCUGACCCAGCGACGCCGCGUGGGUGAUGAAGGCCUUCGGGUUGUAAAGCCCUUUCGUGCGGAAAGAACAGUCCCGUAGUGAAUAUCUACGGGAUUUGACGGUACCGCAGGAAGAAGCACCGGCUAACUCCGUGCCAGCAGCCGCGGUAAUACGGAGGGUGCAAGCGUUGUUCGGAAUUAUUGGGCGUAAAGGGCGCGUAGGUGGUUGUGAUAGUCAGAUGUGAAAUCCUCUGGCUCAACUGGAGAACUGCAUCUGAAACUUCAUAACUCGAGUACAGGAGAGGGAAACGGAAUUCCCGGUGUAGAGGUGAAAUUCGUAGAUAUCGGGAGGAACACCAGUGGCGAAGGCGGUUUCCUGGCCUGAUACUGACACUG
Molecule: ribosomal RNA, 402 nt
Filed under: uncultured bacterium
Lineage: Bacteria
Description: bacterial SSU rRNA
Rfam family: Bacterial small subunit ribosomal RNA
Source: RNAcentral